UAAGGGAUCUUGCGACAAUGGGCGAAAGCCUGACGCAGCAACGCCGCGUGCGGGAUGACGGCCUUCGGGUUGUAAACCGCUUUUCGAGGGGAAGAGGGAGGACGGUACCCUCGGAAUAAGUCUCGGCUAACUACGUGCCAGCAGCCGCGGUAAAACGUAGGAGGCGAGCGUUAUCCGGAUUUACUGGGUGUAAAGCGCGUGCAGGCGGUCGUGUAAGUGGUGCGUGAAAGCUCCCGGCUCAACCGGGAGAGGACGUGCCAAACUGCAGCGCUAGAGGCAGGUAGAGGCGUGUGGAAUUCCGGGUGUAGUGGUGAAAUGCGUAGAGAUCCGGAGGAACACCAGUGGCGAAGGCGACACGCUGGGCCUGGCCUGACGCUCAGACGCGAAAGCAUGGGGAGCGAACG
Molecule: ribosomal RNA, 404 nt
Filed under: uncultured bacterium
Lineage: Bacteria
Description: bacterial SSU rRNA
Rfam family: Bacterial small subunit ribosomal RNA
Source: RNAcentral